GACGAACGCUGGCGGCGUGCUUAACACAUGCAAGUCGAGCGGAGCGGCGAACGGGUGAGUAACGCGGGAGUAACUGCCCCCCUCUCUGGGAUAAAAGUUGGAAACGGCUGCUAAUACCGGCUAGUGGGGGAUGACUCGCGUCCUAUCAGCUUGUUGGUGGGGUAGUGGCCUACCAAGGCGACGACGGGUAGCCGGCCUGAGAGGUGGACCGGCCACAUUGGGCGACGGUACGGACCAAACGGCUACGGGGGGCAGCAGUGGGGAAUAUGGCACAAUGGGGGAAACCCUGAUGCAGCAGCGCCGCGUGCGGAAUGACGGCCUUCGGGUUGUAAACCGCUUUCAGCCAUGACGCGGUAGUGGCAGAAGAAGCACCGGCUAACUUCGUGCCAGCAGCCGCGGUAAUUC
RNAcentral lists this ribosomal RNA (405 nucleotides) under uncultured bacterium. Its description in RNAcentral is "partial 16S ribosomal RNA". It matches the Rfam family "Bacterial small subunit ribosomal RNA", at positions 28 to 526 of the family's 1533-position model. The record is from RNAcentral.